AUUGAACGCUGGCGGCAGGCCUAACACAUGCAAGUCGAGCGGAUGAAGGGAGCUUGCUCCUGGAUUCAGCGGCGGACGGGUGAGUAAUGCCUAGGAAUCUGCCUGGUAGUGGGGGAUAACGUCCGGAAACGGGCGCUAAUACCGCAUACGUCCUGAGUGAGAAAGUGGGGGAUCUUCGGACCUCUCGCUAUCAGAUGUGCCUAGGUCGGAUUAGCUAGUUGGUGGGGUAAAGGCCUACCAAGGCGACGAUCCGUAACUGGUCUGAGAGGAUGAUCAGUCACACUGGAACUGAGACACGGUCCAGACUCCUACGGGAGGCAGCAGUGGGGAAUAUUGGACAAUGGGCGAAAGCCUGAUCCAGCAAUGCCGCGUGUGUGAAGAAGGUCUUCGGAUUGUAAAGCACUUUAAGUUGGGAGGAAGGGAAGUAAGUUAAUACCUUGCUGUUUUGACGUUACCAAAAGAAUAAGCACCGGCUAACUUCGUG
Molecule: ribosomal RNA, 484 nt
Filed under: uncultured bacterium
Lineage: Bacteria
Description: partial 16S ribosomal RNA
Rfam family: Bacterial small subunit ribosomal RNA
Source: RNAcentral